ACCAUAUCUGACAGGCUGAGGCUUUUAUGCAGUAGGGCAAGAGAGUGUGUCUAUGCAUGUGUGUGUGUGUGUCUGUCUGUCUGUCUGUCUGCGAGACUGUGUCUGUGUGUUAAGCUUGAGUCUAUUGAGCCCAUUGGAUGGGACUGGGGUUUACAAAGACCAUGGGCACAUAGGAGCUUCCUCAGUAUCACAGGCUUUCACUUUUCUAGUGUUUCGGAUGGUGUCUGGGCAUUCUGAUGCUGCUGCAGGGCUUGGUGAAGGUGAGGAUUUACCGGGAUUCCUUUGGAUCCUGUCCUGGAUAAUUUCUCUCUCUCUCGCUCUCUCUCUCUCUGCCCAAGGCUCUCCAACUCCAUCCUAUGCUGGACUAGUCUGAGAACUCACAGUUGAAGACAUGUUCAUUAGACUGGGACGCCUGACCCCUGGAUACUUCCGUCUCCUCCAGAGACAGGUCUCAGGUGAAGUCCAGAUACAGCCGCAGAAAGGAUUCAUCAACCAGAUCGCCAUGACGAUGGCCAUGGUGGGCAUCAGUGUGUCCUUCUACAGCGCCCGGCGGAUGGCGGAGAAGGUCCAUCUAAAAGAGAAUGCUCCCUGAACAGUUGGACAGUGUGGCCCCUCAACUGGACCAGAGAGAUGGGGGAGAGAGAUGAAGAGAACCAGAGUAGGCUGCAGUGCUGCACUCCAUCACCUUGCAUUGCAGCGGUUGGCACCCACUCAAAGCUGCCAUGCCAAGAUGGUUCUGUGGGCUGAGUGUUUGAUGUUGUUGUUCGAGAGAAUGUCUGUGUUUGAUGGAAGAGGAUGGGUAUCAGGAGCGUUUUGUCUUGAGAGUGAGACCAUGCAGUCUUUAUUAAACAACUGCUGGGUUUGAAAUACGUUUAUCUUUGUAUUGUGAUGACGGGAAAAUGGAAGUGUACUGUGGGGAAAUGGAAAUGUGAAUUACCAGUACUAAUGCCCAAUAGAUUAAAAUGACCUAACAACAUUUUUACCUAAAUACAUUUUUGGAUGAUAUGAGGCGAUCUACACAUAUCUGCUUUAUUUGAAAGAUUUCACCAUGUAGGCCUAGCAUACUUACUUAGGCUCCAUACUAGAAUGUCUUUUGAACAUAGCAUGAAUGCACAUCACAAAUGUGGGACCCCAGUAAGCGUUUGGUAUUUGCUUCAGCGCUUUAUCAGUUGAACAUGGAUGCCAUGAUAAUACUGUAGCUCUGUGGUUCUGACAGAAUCGGUGGUCUCCUCAAUGUAUGCCACUUCCAAACUGACUCUUCAUGACAUUUAUAUGUAUAUUUUAUUAACAAGUAUUUUUAAUGGUUUACAUUUUUAAAUACCUAAUAAAACUCACUAUUAACUCAAAGAA
Molecule: long non-coding RNA, 1350 nt
Filed under: Salmo salar (Atlantic salmon)
Lineage: Eukaryota; Metazoa; Chordata; Actinopteri; Salmoniformes; Salmonidae
Description: lncRNA (ENSSSAG00000017942.2)
Source: RNAcentral